UACGGGGGGGGCAAGCGUUGUUCGGAAUUACUGGGCGUAAAGGGCGCGUAGGCGGUUGGAUAAGUCAGCUGUGAAAACCACGAGCUCAACUUGUGGCCUGCAGUUGAAACUGUCUGGCUAGAGUGUGGGAGAGGGAAGUGGAAUUCCUGGUGUAGCGGUGAAAUGCGUAGAUAUCAGGAGGAACACCGGUGGCGAAGGCGGCUUCCUGGACCACAACUGACGCUGAGGCGCGAAAGCGUGGGGAGCAAACAGG
Molecule: ribosomal RNA, 253 nt
Filed under: uncultured bacterium
Lineage: Bacteria
Description: partial 16S ribosomal RNA
Rfam family: Bacterial small subunit ribosomal RNA
Source: RNAcentral